This 382-nucleotide ribosomal RNA is filed under the name uncultured eukaryote. Its description in RNAcentral is "partial 18S ribosomal RNA". It matches the Rfam family "Eukaryotic small subunit ribosomal RNA", at positions 592 to 976 of the family's 1831-position model. The record is from RNAcentral.
UGUAAGCGUAUACCAAAGUUGUUGCAGUUGAAACGCUCGUAGUCGGAAUUUGGCAGUUCCGGAUGUGUGCACGUCGUGUGCGCACUUCGCGGGGAUUGCUUUUGUGGUCUUGCGUAGGAUGAGGCACUUUUAUUAGUGAACGUCCUCACGCAACCACUUUUUACUGUGAGAAAAUCAGAGUGCUCAAAGCAGGCAUUUGCCGUGAAUGUAUUAGCAUGGAAUAAUAGAAUAGGACUUGGUUCUAUUUUGUUGGUUUGUUGGGACUGAGUAAUGAUUAAGAGGGACAGUUGGGGGCAUUUGUAUUUCGGUGCUAGAGGUGAAAUUCUUAGAUUACCGAAAGACAAACUGCUGCGAAAGCGUCUGCCAAGGAUGUUUUCAUUGA